AUGGAAGCUCUAAAGUCUCCAGCUUCCCCCAAAUCGCCACCACCCCAAACCCUAGAACAGCCGCCGGCGCCGCAUCAAGGAGAUGGGCCAGCAGUCCAAAAGGACGCGUGCGCCGGAGCCUCAGGUCGUCCCGCCAUCGCUGCUCAAUUCGUUCCGCCGUUGAUGCCGCAUCUCGUCCCGCCGUCGGCGCCACACCUCGUCCCGCCGCCGUCGGCGCCACACCUCGUCCCGCCACCACGCCAGCUCGGACCAGGUGCCUCGAUCCCCCCACGGCCACCAAAGGCAGCAACGGCCUCUGCACCAUGCUGGCUGCCCCAGACGCAAGGCCCUUUGUGGUACACGAAUGUUGAUGAUCUGAAUCCAGAAGCAUGGGGAGUGGAUUCUCACCCACCUGGUGGGUUCCUUGGUUUUUUUAAGAACAUGCCAAGCCUUUCCCAAGCUGUGAGCAAUGGGACUUCAUCGCAACAAAUCAAGAAAGGAGAUGCCACCAAUGGUGGCGAGUGUGCAGGACUAUGCCUUACAUACAUUUUAUGGAGGAUCAACAUUAUAUCUUACAUACAUUUUAUUCCAGGACUAUGA
RNAcentral lists this ribosomal RNA (579 nucleotides) under Triticum aestivum (bread wheat). Its description in RNAcentral is "partial small subunit ribosomal RNA". The record is from RNAcentral. Lineage: Eukaryota; Viridiplantae; Streptophyta; Magnoliopsida; Poales; Poaceae.